GGAUGUGAGGGCGAUCUUGCUGUGACAUCUGUCACCCCAUUGAUCACCAGGGUUGGUUCAGCUGAUCUGGCUGACAAGGUGGGUGUCCCUCCUGAAGCUGUGUGCUCAGUUGAAGUGGAAAGCCUUCUCUGAAUAGAGAGGGACCAGUCUUCGGUCGAGGGUAUACGAGUAGCUGCGCUUCCCUGCUAAAACCUCCAAAUUUUAUCUUGAUGAGGAAAUCACUAUUUUGUCCAUGUGACUUUUACACAUAAAAAUGAUCAUGUUAAGUGGAACUGAAGAUGAUUAAGUUU
Molecule: small nuclear RNA, 290 nt
Filed under: Erinaceus europaeus (western European hedgehog)
Lineage: Eukaryota; Metazoa; Chordata; Mammalia; Eulipotyphla; Erinaceidae
Description: 7SK RNA
Rfam family: 7SK RNA
About the family: 7SK was discovered as an abundant small nuclear RNA in the mid-70s but a possible function has only recently been suggested. Two independent studies have found that 7SK RNA binds the CDK9/cyclin T complex (known as elongation factor P-TEFb).
Source: Rfam by way of RNAcentral